GUGGGGAAUCUUCCGCAAUGGACGAAAGUCUGACGGAGCAACGCCGCGUGAGUGAUGAAGGUCUUCGGAUUGUAAAGCUCUGUUAAUCGGGACGAAAGAGCCUAGUGUGAAUAAUGCUAGGAAGUGACGGUACCGGAAUAGAAAGCCACGGCUAACUACGUGCCAGCAGCCACGGUAAUACGUAGGUGGCAAGCGUUGUCCGGAAUUAUUGGGCGUAAAGCGCGCGCAGGCGGAUCUGCCAGUCUGUCUUAAAAGUUCGGGGCUUAACCCCGUGAUGGGAUGGAAACUACAGAUCUAGAGUAUCGGAGAGGAAAGUGGAAUUCCUAGUGUAGCGGUGAAAUGCGUAGAUAUUAGGAAGAACACCAGUGGCGAAGGCGACUUUCUGGACGAAAACUGACGCUGAGGCGCGAAAGCCAGGGGAGCGAACGGGAUUAGAAACCCUGGUAGUCC
This 450-nucleotide ribosomal RNA is filed under the name uncultured bacterium. RNAcentral describes it as "partial 16S ribosomal RNA". It matches the Rfam family "Bacterial small subunit ribosomal RNA", at positions 354 to 796 of the family's 1533-position model. The record is from RNAcentral.